UCAGGAUGAACGCUGGCGGCGUGCCUAAUACAUGCAAGUCGAACGAGGUAGCAAUACCGAGUGGCGAACGGGUGAGUAACACGUAGGUAACCUGCCCUUAAGCUUGGGAUACCCAGAGGAAACUUGGCUAAUACCGGAUAACAACAGAGAAGGCAUCUUCUUUGCUUGAAAGGCCCUUCAAGGGUCACUUAAGGAUGGACCUGCGGCGCAUUAGCUAGUUGGUGAGAUAACAGCCCACCAAGGCGAGGAUGCGUAGCCGAACUGAGAGGUUGAUCGGCCACAUUGGAACUGAGACACGGUCCAAACUCCUACGGGAGGCAGCAGUAAGGAGUUUUCGGCAAUGGGGGAAACCCUGACCGAGCAAACGCCGCGUGAGCGAUGACGGCCCUAUGGGGUUGUAAAGCUCUGUUGUAAGCCAUGAAUGAUAGCUUGAGGAAAUGCAAGUUAUUUGACGACAGCUUACCAGAAAGCCACGGCUAACUACGUGCCAGCCGCAGC
This 498-nucleotide ribosomal RNA is filed under the name uncultured bacterium. RNAcentral's name for it is "bacterial SSU rRNA". It matches the Rfam family "Bacterial small subunit ribosomal RNA", at positions 24 to 518 of the family's 1533-position model. The record is from RNAcentral.